GCUCUCUUCACAAUCCGAGGAUGAGAAACUCUUGUUGGAUGUAAGUUGUUGAGGAUGCAAUGUUUCAUCUUCAAUGCUUGAAGCUCCUGAUAAAGGAGGAGUCAUAUGCUUUUGCUGCUGGUGUUGUGGACGCGUGAGGUUAUCAGACAUGAGACGCUCACAUUUCUGGAGAGCUUCGUCUCUUUCUUUAAUGGUUUUGGUUAAGAUGUCUUUGAGCUGGAUCAGUUGUUCAUCCCUUUUCCUUAUUUCCUCAUGAGCAAACAUCUUUGUUUGUUCGAGAUCUAGUGUUGUGCACAGAAGAGAGUGUCUUAAUUCUUCUGUAGUCUGUAAAUUUCACAGAAGUAGAAAAUAAAUUAGAAACACAAAAGAAAAAAAAAACAGAGGAAAAAAGUAUCUUAAAAUAAGCUAGAUGGGACAGAACAGAGGGAUCCCUAAGUUUGGUGUCACCUAGUUGCAUGCUAAGACAACUAUUAUAAAAAUAAUUCUAAAGACAUCAAGGAUUGAGUCACCUGGUUGCAGAUUAAGGCCACCAUUAUGUAAAAUCCAGUUGAGUCUUAGCAACUAGGUCUAGAUUCAGGUAUUUAUUUAUUUAUUAGAACAACCAAGAAUAGUAAAAAGAAAUUCCACAUUAAAGUUCUUGUUUUGGACAGACAUUAUGCACCCAUUUGAGCAAAAACAUGAAGAAGAAGAAGAAGAAGAAGAAGAAGAGCAUUGCUUUGGUGAAGGGAAGAGAAGAAACUCGACUUUAGAAAGAGAUGGAAUAAAUUUUACCUUUCCAUGAGAAAAGUAAGGCCAGCCAAGAAGAGCAUUGCUCUGGUUAUCCAUAAAUUCUACUAAACUGAGCUUUUGAUUCUCUUUUAAAAUUGUGUUAGAGAGGGAUAGAAAGAGAAUGGAGUCUAACUUAGGGAGGGAAGGACAUAUAAAUAAGUAAAAACUUGUUGGACUGUUUAAAGCAGAUCAAGCUUUUUCAGGUAUGUAGCUUUCUUCAAGAUUUCAAUAAUUAGUUAAAUAACUAAAAAGAAAAGUUAAAAUAAUAGCACAUGAUUGUAUCAUUUCUUGUAACAUUAUCUCAACUAACUCCACUUUAUAUUUUACCGCGCAAACUAUAAGAAAAUUAUUUAUCGUAGUAUAACUGUAUAGCUAUGAAAAUAAAAUGGCAUAACUCAAAUUCAAAGUAAUAUAGUUGACUCAUAUUCAAAGAGAAACUACGGUUUUUUUAAUGAAUGUUGAAUUUAUUCAACUCAAAAACCUCUAUGCAGUGCUUAUAACUGUGUGUAAAAAUGGAUUGAACUACAUUGAAAAAAUGAUCUUAAAUAAAAAAAUUUAAGUCUUCUCUCAUCUCGAAUCAAACCACAACUCCAAAGAACUAAAAUGAUUUUAAUCUCUUAAGUUUUUUGUAAUAUCUUUGAAUGUUCUUAAUAAAAUAAAGAUGUCUUUUUGUAUAAAUUAUUCGAAUCUAUCCUAAACACCUUAUCAAUAUACCUUUGAUACUAAACACUUCCCUUGUGGUUGUACCUCAUAUGUGUUUGUAAAUGCCACAUCCUCCCUUCUUUGAGAGAUUCAAUAUGAUUCCUUAACUUGUUUGUCAAUGAAAGAAACCAUUCGGGCUUGUCCUUAGGUGGAUCUCCAUGGUUUCGUCCAUUACUAGUGUUUUCACAAAAAAUAACGAUCUUUUAAAUACUUGGUGAAUACUUUUCUUAGUAUCUGAACAGUAGAAAGACAUCAAAAUAGUCAUUUUAAAUUUUUAUCCCAAUAUCGAAAAACGUUUUAAAUAUAUAACUGUUAUGAAAUAACUUAUAAUUUAUAGUAUCGAGAAAUUUAAAUAAGAGUAGAAUUUAAUACCCGUAGGAAGCAAAUAACACUAGUAUAAGGGAGAGAGUUUAUUAUAAGAAGGAAGAAGAAAAUGUAAUGAUUCUUUGAUUAUAAACUCUUGUUCUUGUUUUUGGUGUACAAAAGAGUGAGAUGAGUGAUGGUAUUUAUAGUGAACAACAAUACAUAAAAUAACAAAGAUAGUGCUUAAUUUGGUAAAUGAGUGGGUGAUCAUAGUGUUUGAUGAGUAGAUGAUCAUAGUGCUUGAGUUGGUAAAGGAGUGGAUGAUCAUAGUGCUUGAGUUUGGUAAAGAAGUGGAUGAUCAUUUCAAUGCUUAAUUUAUAACACUCCCCCUUGAUCAUCCAUCUUGUAUUACGUGGUGCCUCGUUAAAAACCUAGUCAUGGAAAACCCAAUGGGAAAAACCGUAGUAAAAGUAAAAAGAGUACAACUACGUAAGCUCCCCCUCGAAUGAGUAGUCAUAGAACCUUUAGAACAAUGAUAGAUUUUCAUCUCUCAAAUUGUAACAUUCUCUUUGGUUGUCUAUCUUUUGUAUGUUCUUUGUUGCCUCGUUAAAACCUUGUCAUGGAAAAACCCAAUGGGAUAAAAAAAAACCAUGAUAAGGAAAAAGAGUACAACCACACUUACUAUCAUAUUUCUUUCCCUGGAAACAAUAUCUUCAGGAUAUGCAUUCCAAUCAACUCUCUUCAGAGAAUUAAGCUUAAGAGAAUAAACUCUAUUCAUUUCUAUUAUGAUAUCUAGGGCCUUUAGACUUCUUGUCCAUAAUUCUCUUUUAACUUAGACAAUAGUUUAUUGGUCUAUUUGGAUUUCAAACCAAAUUUCUUACAUAUAAUCGUAUAGAAAUUCGUCUCGUACAUACGAAUUAUUCAUUUGUAACUAUAGAAGUUACUAUUAUGAUUUUCUUUCUUUUCAUAUGAAAUUACAUCUUUCAGUAAUGAAAAAGAUUAAUAAUUUUCUUAAAUAACACUCUUACGUAUGGUAUUUCAGGACCAAACAUAUACGAGCGUCUUAAAUAAAAUACUUUAAGGAUCUUUAUGAUAACAUCUCAGUUUUAGAUCUCCAGUUUAGAAUACAUAAAAACAAUAUAGUAUUGUCAAGAGUUUUCUUUCAAAAUAUAAUUUUUCUAUAACUCUUCAGGAGUUUUGAUUAUAUUCAAAUCAUGAUUCUAUUGAUUUAUAAUCUCUUGAUAAAUACAAAUGGAUACAUUUGUUAACCUUAUAAUAUUUCAUAUAUCCCAUAAAAUAGUUUGUUUCAAUUCGAUCGAAUAUGCAGAGUUCCCGGGAACAUGAUUUUGAUAUCAUCAAUCCUUCAUGGAUUAUACUUUCAGGGAUUAACAUUUUUCAAGUGGAUUGUUUUAUUCAAGUUCUUCCUUUAUUACCAGACUAUAAGGAACUUGAAACUAGUUGCAUCUACCAUAUGAAAUUAUGUCUCUUCACAAUCAAUUUCAUAUUGAUCAUUCUUUGUGUGCAACGGUUCAUUUACAUCUCACUUGUUUUACACCUUUUAGUGUAUGGACUACUGGUCCAAAUACUUCUCUAUUUCACAAGAAGUUUAUAUCUUUGUCUAUUGCAUCUUUCUGAUUUGGCCAAUCAUUUCUUUGUGUACACUUUUCAAUAGACUUUCUUUCAUGAUCCUCUUUCUCAUUUAUUAUAUCAACUGCUACUUUGCAUGUAUAAUAUCAUCGACGUCAAUUUUCUUAUCGGUUCCAUUUUGUUUCAUACAUGACAUAACUUAUUGAGAUCUCUUCAUUUGUCUCAGGUACCUGAAUUUUCGUCAGUCAUGUUUAAUUUCUCUUCUGGAGAUCAUACAAAACUAUAUUGCCUCGUUUUGACCAUUAUCAAUAUAUGCUCCUUUUUCAUUUACGAGGAUUUAUCUUUGGAACCAAUCUGUCUACCACCCUGCAGGCGUGACUAGCAGUUUGAUAUUGUUCUUGUAGAACAUUUAUUCUUAUUGGAGCAUUUACAGCUGGUAUAUGUGACUUGAUCACUAUAUUUAUAUGGGUCGUGUCUGGCAACUGCUUUAGUAAGUUUUGAAAUGAAUUAUCUUUUGGACUUCUAUUUCACAUUGUGUUUAGCCCGAGGAUCAAUGAUAAUUCAUUUCAACUUAUUUUCUUUUCCAGCUGUUUAUUUUCUCCCCCUUAUGUUGGAAGUACUAACUCACUUUUAGAAUUCAUGUAUAGCCUUACUUAUAUUUUUCGGGGAUGGCUCUGGAUUCUUAAGUGUCAAUAGAGAUUUAUAUCCAACAUAUAUUUCCAACCUCAUUUGAAAACACAUCUUCAUUUGAAGCUCUGUGGCGGAGCAACAUCCAACAUUCUUAGAUGAAAAUGAUUGGUUUCUGAUUCUAUACCAAUGAUGGGUAGAACUAGUGAAUAUUUAUUGGCUUGAUGCGAACCAGUGUUGCUCAAAAUGUUUAGCACUUAUCUCAGUGAAUGUGCUAUAGUCGUUAAAGACUUUAAGAAGUGAAUUCACCAAUAUUAUAAAAAUGCAUAGUGGGUGAUCAGUCCACUAACAUCUUCGUUAUUUAUGCCAAUAUCUUAUUUUGGCUGGUGAAAACCAUAUUACCCUUUUAUCUUAUGAGUAAGCAACAUAUGUCAAAUCAUUCGGAAGAAUCUUCUGGUUCUUAUAUGACUAUGCAUAUGACCUUUAAGUAUAUAUUCGCAUUAUUAAUGAACCAAAAUGGUCUAACUGAUUCAUGCCAAAUGUAAACUUCUAGUUUACUAUACAUUUAUCUUCAUUAUACUAAUCUUUGUGUAGUACAAUAUAUAAGAGGCUGUAGAUAUUUUCUCUAAAAUACUUAUACUGCUUUGAGAAUUAUUUCUGAUUGAAAUGUAUAUAUCAUUUCGUUUGCUUAUUGUCUCAACAUAAGUGUCUCAAAAUCUUACGGAUUUACUUUGAGAAAAAUUCAUCAAUCUUAGUUUUAGUGUAAACAUAAUCUUCUGGAUGUUUGACUUAUCAUAAAAAGUGAGAUUCUUUAACUCUUCCCCUCGAGAUUAUAAUACUACAGGUUUAUCAAUCUCGAAUGUAUCUCAUUUUCUUAAUCAACAACAUAUCCUACAUGGGUUAUGUAUUUUUCGUAGAUCCUUUUAACUUUUGAUACUUAUAAAAAUACAAUACCUUAAGAACUUUAAAUUGCAUUCUUAAGAACUUUAAAUUAAAUUUUUAUGUGCAGUAAUACUAUGUAUACUUCUGGAGCAUCAUAUAUAUCCUCUUUUUAAGCAUUCUAUAAGUUUUUACUACCUUGUAUUGUACACACAAUAAAUUUUCUUUCAUCUUCAGAUGAAUUCAUAAUUUCUUUUCUUUAUUACCAUGUUUAUUUUCUCAACUUUAAGUGAGAGUAUGAGUUCUAUAAAGAAACUCUUUGGACCUUGACCUCAUUUAUGCUCACGUCUAAAACCACUAUUUAUGAGUUUUUUAAAUGUCAUAUUCUCUUCAGGAGAAUGAAUCAUAAUCAACUAGACGUGAUUUAUCAAUAGAUAUUUUUCAAUAUAUAUGCAUCAUAAAAAAAUUUCUUGAAGAAAUUUUACUUUUAAACUUAACAUCCAACAUAGUUGGCUUUAUUUACAGACUUCAGGUCUUGUAAUCUUUAAAUGCAAAAUACAAAAUGAGCUUUAGGUAAUCACUUCAGGUGAUAAUACCUUUUUUAUAUAUAUUAUCUUCCAAAACUUAUGGAUCUUUUAGAGUCAAGCUUUAAACUUAAAAUCCUCAAUAUAAAUGGUAAUAAAAUCAAAAUAUUUCAAAUAUAUAUAAAUAUGUAUUAACAAAGGUGUCUUAUUAUAUCAGAAAAUAAAUAAAACUUUCAUAGUAAUUAUUAUAUAGACUAUAUUAUUACUCUCAUGCUUUUUAACAAAGUUUAACCUAUCAAUCAAUUUAAUGAACAAAUUUAUAUCACUGCCAACUUCAUGCAAAUUGAUUUAUCUAAUCAAGUUUGUUAAACUUGUAUAUAAAGCAUAAAAAUACUUAUCUUAUAAACAGAAGUAUAUCGGCGAUGAAAGUUUCAGCUGUUCACGUUUCUGAAUUGGCUGAUAACUUGUACAUAUCUUUCCGAGAGAAUACACAAUCCUGAAAACUUUAAAUUUUGCUCAUAUAAACAUGGCCAUUACAUUAGUAAAUAUCAACAUAUAAUCCAAAUUCUUUUAUGAUAUUAGACCAAAGACUAAUCGACUACAAAACUAACCGAUUACAAAUAAUUUCUUUUAUGAUGUUAGACCAUGAAUCAUAAAGUAUGUUUCCUUAAUACCAUUAAACCAUGAAGCAUAUUAAAGUAUAAUAAGCAAAAUUUAAUUCAUCAAAUAACUAUUAUUCUUACAUAUAGACAAGCGUUGAUAUAUAUAUAUAUAUCAUCGUCUAAAAUGACUAUAUAUAUAUAUAUAUAUAUUUAGAAUUUCGCAAUUUUAAAAUGAACCAUUUAUUAUGAACUUCAUAAUUUAAAAACCGUUUACAUUAAUCAUACAAGCAAUUACAAGGAGAAGCGAUGUAAAGAAAAUUAAACCGAUAAUCAUCUUAAAUUCACUCGGAGUAAAUUCUCCAUCGAAUAAACCAUAAAUAGAAACACAAAUAAAAAUGGCACAUAAAAACAAAAGUGCGCGAAUCAUCUUUCUUGAAAAAUCGGAGGAGAGCGAUUUUGAAAUUUUUGAGAGAAGAUGAAAUGUUUUGGAUGAUGAAAUGAAGUGAAAAUGAGUUGUAUUUAUAGAUGAAAAUUACUGUUCAUGACCGUUGGAGAAAGGGGAAAUUUUUGAAAAAAAUUCUUUGUGACCGUUGGGGUUAAAUCGAGUGCACCAAAAAUUAGUCCGAAAAUAUCGUAUUAAACGGUCAAUCAAAUCUAUAAAAUUUCAUAAAAGUGAAAAAUUAUGACAAUGAAAUAUUUAUGUUAUAUGACAAUAAAUCAUGCGACGGCUCAGCCGAUCAAUGCAUAAUAUCAAAUAAAUUAUACGGCGGCUCGGCCGACCAAUUAAUAAUAAACAGAAUAUAAGGCGGCUCGGCCGACCAAUAAAUAAUAAACAGGAUAUAAGGCGGCUCGGCCGACCAAUAAAUAAUAAACAGGAUAUAAGGCGGCUCGGCCGACCAAUAAAUAAAUUAAAUUACUAGUAAAUAAUAUAGGCGGUAUUCCGGCCAUUAUAACAUGAUAUAAAUAAUAGUAGAGGCGGUAUACCGACCAUUAUAACAGGGUAUAAAUGAUACAAAUAAAUUUUACCGAAUCGCAGAGUGAUCGUGCUGAUAACGUGUUAUGAAAUAACUUAUAAUUUAUAGUAUCGAGAAAUUUAAAUAAGAGUAGAAUUUAAUACCCGUAGGAAGCAAAUAACACUAGUAUAAGGGAGAGAGUUUAUUAUAAGGAAGAAGAAGAAGAUGUAAUGGUUCUUUGAUUAUAAACUCUUGUUCUUGUUUAUGGUGUACAAAAGAGUGAGAUGAGUGAUGGUAUUUAUAGUGAACAACAAUACAUAAAAUAACAAAGAUAGUGCUUAAUUUGGUAAAUGAGUGGGUGAUCAUAGUGUUUGAUGAGUAGAUGAUCAUAGUGCUUGAGUUGGUAAAGGAGUGGAUGAUCAUAGUGCUUGAGUUUGGUAAAGAAGUGGAUGAUCAUUUCAAUGCUUAAUUUAUAACAAUAACUAUAAUUCAGUUCUUUUUGCAAAUCAUUCUUAUACAUGUUUACAUGAACGAGAUUAAAAUCAUUUUAGUGGGUGUAUCUUUUAAAUAUUAUAGCUGUAGAUAGUUUUUCUUUUUCCUUGUUUUGCUGGAAGUAGUAUUUAUAAAAUAUAAAUAUUAAUUUCUUUUGCCGUAACUAUUUGGCGGAAGACCAGUAUCGUAGUUUACUGACAUUGGUCUCACUCACUCACUCACAAUAUAGUCUAAAAACUCUUUAAAGGUCUUUUGUUUUCUUCUUCGUUUUUUCUUGGAUACAAUACGAUUUCUUGUCUUUAUCCAAGAAAAAUCAAGUUCAACGAAAAGAGCGGGAACGAGUGUUCUAAUAACAUAUUUUUCAAUUUUGUACAGAGAAAGUAUAUGAAGAUGAAAGCAUAUGUGUAUAAACAACUAAAGAUGCAUGGAGUCAAUGAGAAGUGGAUUCCAUUGUCAGCAAAAGAGGCAAGUAACCAAACUUUUUCCACCAAUACAUUGAGAAAAGUUUGAUGGAAUCCUUUUUCAAUUAUUAAACCUAUCACUACUCGUGGAAAAAUAAGGACUCACAUCUUCGUUUCCAAAUUUCACGUGAAUAUUACAGAACUGAACAGCUCAGUUUUGAAAAAAGAAAAAAAAACAGCUCAAUAUUUAAAAAUUUGAUAUAAACAUCGCUAUAAGCCUAUGCUAUAGCCACCGUCAAUAUUUUAAUAUAAUAGUCGUACAAAGAUCUACAAUCUAUGGUCGGAUUAUCAAUUUCUGUCUGCAGAUCUUGCCGAGUUUCUAGAAACCCUAAGCAAAUUAAAGUCUUUAAGAAAUAUAUAUAAUAACCUCAAGCAUAGCUAAGGAUUUUUUUAUCAGUUUUCUUUAUACUAAAAAAGUUACGAUGCAUACAUUUUCAUAUUUCUACAAUAUUCAUAUCCUUUUUUGUCUUGGAAACAGCCAGCCAGUUUAUGUAACCAUCAAAUGUAUUCCUUCAUGAAUUUUUAAUAUUACCAGACGAAAAGAGUAUAAGGGGGUCAGUUGAGUGAAAACUCAAUUUUAAUUUCUUCGGCCAAAAUAUAUAAUGGAUACUCUGAUGAAAAUGAUUAAUUGACUUUUACUGCAAGUCUGCAAGUUGAAUUAAAGAAAGGAAAGUAAUAUCUCCAUAUUUGGUUGGGUCCCUGGGCAUGUUAAGUGAUUAUCAUGAAUAUCAUCGAUGGUCACAGUAAUAUUAUAAUGUAGAUGUAGUGCACGAUAUGUUCCUACCAAUUGUGAUAGUGGAGUGGUAUCCAUUAAAAAGAGCUAAAGGAUUCUCUCGUUCAACAAUAUACAUGCAGAUGGGUAUAUAUGUAAAGAAAAGAGAAAAGUACUUCCAAUACUAAAAGUAGGGAGACAAGAGUUAUCAUUUCAUGGUCUCUUUCACCAACAUUAAUUUAAGAGCAUGUGAAGCAAAACUUUUGAUUUUCUUUCUUUGUUCACUGUGAUAGAAUUUUAAGAACUUCUGUCUUUUGGCUACUUAUUAGGUUUCCCGUGUGAGUUGUGCAAAAAUUAGAUAUCUUUUGUGUAUUAGGGACUCGCGACCUUCAGCCAUGUAUGUCUUAUAUACUAAAACACUAAACUGAUUAAUCUAUAACUCUAUAAGUUAUUUUUCAACUAAGUUUUGCAACCGAAAAGGCGUAAACUCCAGAGAAAACACUCUUAACUAGGCGGAACCAAUAUGACAAUUUUACUAAAAUGUUAUUAUUAUAUUCAAAUAUCUCAUAUAUAUUAAUAUAGAAACAUUUAAAAAGUUAUAACAUGUAGUUUGUACAUACUAAUUAAAAAAUGUUUUUCUGAAUUGUCACAUAAUUGGAAUGCUAAUUUUGUUUACGUGUCAGCUUGAAAAUCAAUUAAUAAUUUUGUUUGUCCAAAAUUAAAUUGGUAGGAAAUGUUAUAUUAUAUAGUAUGUCCAUUAUGAACCAUUCAUUUAUCAAAUUGAAAUUAUUAUAUAUUAUUUCCUUAAAUAAAACAUACGGAAUUACCUAAUGUGAUUAAGAUAUAUGUGGUAAUUAAUGAUUUUAAAUAAUAAAGAUUUGCUAACAAUUUGUAUAUUUUCUAUCAUUUUUGUUUAAUUAAUUAUUAUUAAAAUAAAUUACACAAUUACAUUAAUCAUAUAAUAAAAGUUUAGAUUUUUCUUGUAUAUGUUGUAUUUUGAAUUUUUCAAAACAAGUAUAAAUUACUAAAAACUGUUAAAAGUGUCACAUAAACUUUUGUGAUCAAAGUUUAAAUUUUUUUCUUUAAUAAGAUACAAUGAUUGUAAAAUCAUAUGAAUAAAUAAUUUUAUUUUAAUAGGUAUUUAUGUUAAUAUAUAUAUAUUUUUAUAUCGUUUAAAUUAAACUAUGCAUCAUAUGAAAAUACAUACUUAAUUAUAUUUUGAUAUCUGCGUUGAACAUAUAUUGAAAAGUUAAUAUUUUAAUUUUGAAAUCUUCAUUGUUAUUUUUUAAAUGCUUAUAAAUUAUUGAAACCACUAAACAUUCCACAUUAAAAAAAAUCGUUGGUGUAAAAUUUUGGUACACAAAUAUACAAAUAAUCAUAAAAUCAUAUGAGUAGAAACUUCAUUUAAUAAAUAUUCAUAUCAAAAGUGUACUAUAUAUAUAUGUUAAUAUCAUUUAAAUUUAAUUAUAUAUCAUAUAUGAUAGAUAAGAUUGAUUGUUUUGAUUUAUUUACCCUAAAAUAAUUACGAAUAAACAAGAACGGUCAUUUGAUUUAUAUGCGCACGCCAAUUUAUUACAUAAACAACGAAUAAAUCAAGCCCACCGACAAAAAAUAGAAGUUCUUGCAGAUAUUGAAAUAUUCAAGCUUGAGAUUUUUUCGUUUGCUACCUAACAAGUAACAACAAUAGUUAAGGCGGUUUGUCGUUACUUAAACUUUGUUACAACAAGUAUGAAUCGAGGAGUAGGUUAGCUAUCAGCUACGUUAGAAAUUAUGAAACAAACAAAACCCGUAAUCAAUUAUAAUUACAUUAUAAGAUUUGAGCUUAUAUGAUGACUGGUGACCCUAUAAACCCUAGUGGGCAGUUCUUUCAAACUCGUGAAUCCAUUAUCAUCCACAAACUCAAUUUUAUAAAUUUAGUUUGAAAGUAGUAAUUCUAACCUCUACAAAUAAUAUACUGACCAUCACCAAGGUCAAACAAUCUAUGAACUAACCUAUGUUGACACAAAACACUACUUACAUUACAGGACAAGAAGAUCCGACUCUAGAUCUUCAGGACCUACCCGACCCGACAAAGUUGCUUUGGGCUCUUAGGACUUUUGGUUGUUGGUCGUUAUCUCCCACCCAUCUCUCCGUAAAUCAAAAUAUUAAAAUAAAAUAUCUCAAAAGUUAAAAAUCAUUCAAGCACACCCCCACAAAGGCGACAAGUAAAACCUCUAUAAUUAAUUAAUUACUAAAUUUCAGUUAUUACUAGAGAAAACUGAUUACAUUAUGAAGCCAGAAACAUAACAUCACAUUUAGAAGAGAAAAAAAAUCAGUGAAGCUAAUGUCUUGAGCUUUAGAUACAACAUAAUAUCCAUCUCCACCAACCGGUGGUAGAUGGAAAAACCUUAAGCAUAAAAAGAAGAAAACAUAGAAACCUUAGUUCAACACAUCAUGGAGCCAACACAUGAGUGUGAAAAUGCAUUUGAGAUACAACACUCAAAAAAACAAAACCACAGCCAGCAUCCCUAUAGAAAUAAAUAAAAAUAGCAAACUCUCACAUAGUAUUAAAUAAAACCAAGGGAGUUUUUUUUGUGGUCUUUCUUUCUCAUCACUCUAAAUCUAAACCCUAAAUGGAUCAGACUCUGUCUCCCACAAUGGAGCAUAACCAAAAACCCUAAUGUACAAAGACCACUCUCACUUGACCCACUAAGGCACUAAGUGAGAUUAAAACCCUGAAAUUGACCUAUGUGAUGGAAUAUUAGAUGACUAAUAGUACUACUUGAGUAAGAAUCAAGAUCAGCAGCAGCCAGAAGUGUGUCGGUUAGUGGAGAAGAACUUUCUGAUACUUAGUUUUUGAAUACGACCCAUCUGAGAAUAAUACUCUCUUUCUGUUGAAUUUUCCACAGCCAUUGCUGACAUUUGGGCACUGGAUGGUGACUAGAGGGAUCUCGAAAGUCUUGAGAAGCGGUGGUGGGUGUUGCCAUUGAGGUAAUGGACCGGCUAAGAGCAGUGUCUGAAGCAAUGGCCCUGCCUUCAUAACAGCUUGUAAGAGCUUGCCCUUUUCAGGCAAUGGCUUGUCUGGAAACAAUGGAUCCAUAAUCUCAUUUCCUGAUACUUCUUCAAGCUGAGAUGAGUGUGGGUUCAUGACAUGAUCAUUUGGUGACAUAAAGCUCUCCUCACAAUCUGAGGAUGUGAAACACUUGUUGGAUGUAAGUUGUUGAGGAUGCAAUGUUUCAUCUUCAAUGCUUGAAGCUCCUGAUAAAGGAGGAGUCAUAUGAUUUUGCUGCUGGUGUUGUGGACGCGUGAGGUUAUCGGACAUGAGACGCUCGCAUUUCUGGAGAGCUUCGUCUCUUUCUUUAAUGGUUUUGGUUAAGAUGUCUUUGAGCUGGAUCAGUUGUUCAUCUCUUUUCCUUAUUUCCUCAUGAGCAAACAUCUUUGUUUGUUCGAG
This 12040-nucleotide long non-coding RNA is filed under the name Brassica napus (rape). RNAcentral's name for it is "long non-coding RNA (BNAP_LNC012787)". The record is from RNAcentral. Lineage: Eukaryota; Viridiplantae; Streptophyta; Magnoliopsida; Brassicales; Brassicaceae.